This is an RNA transcript of Mauremys reevesii (Reeves's turtle), 3882 nucleotides long. It is a transcript of the gene named torsin 1A interacting protein 2, with no coding region annotated. NCBI's taxonomy places the organism in Eukaryota, Metazoa, Chordata, Testudines, Geoemydidae. The record is from RefSeq and is a predicted model, not a curated record. The transcript has 6 exons.
GCUCUGUACAAUUGUAGAGUUAUGUAAAUAAGUCCAAACAGAUGAGUUAUUUCCUGAAAAUACAUGUUUGUAAUCAGAACAAAGCCACUGACUGAUCUACAACUAGGGACUAUUCAUUCAAAGAAACGUGGCUGUAGUCAAAGAGUGGGGGCAGAACUACAUAUCCCAGCAUUCCACACUAUGGCACCUUGGAUGGGUGCAAAGUUCACUGUCACGUUGACAGUGGAAGGAUAAAGAGUUUAUGGGUGUGUGUAUUUGAGAGGAUCUGUUUUCCCUCUAACAUCGAAACUGAAGGGCCCUUGGGACGUUUGUGGUAGGGAGCAGUUUGGAUCCGCCUGUAACAACCCCUCUGCUAAGAAAUCCCCGCUAAGAGCAGCUGCUGCAAUCCACACAAUUGGCUCAGGGGAUGGUCUCCAUGAGCUGGUUGAGACUAAUCAAGCUAUUCGGACCAGAAAGAAGAUAGCAGGCAUCUGUAUGACCUAAUCAGGAAGUGUAACAAUCUAGUCAAGAAACCAAAACACCAAACGAUCAAGAGAAUGGCAGAAAACGGAGACCAGGAUCCUCACCGGACCUACCCGGCCCAAGAAUUGAUGAGAAGAGAGGAGGAGAAGACUCCCCAGGUCCAAGAAGGUGAAAAUGUAUUGAGGACCCACCAAGAAAAGAUGAUUGAAGAUUCUGGUUCUGUCCAACUGAAAACCUCCCCAGAAAUAGAAACACUAGGUCCCCAAGAUACAAACAGUGUGUCUGGAAGCCCCUCUGCAGUAAAUGAAGAGGAUUCCUCAGAGGGAAGGCCAGUGAGUUCUGAUGGAAUUUCUCUGAAAACAAACACUGAGGAGUCUCCAGGCCUUCUGAACCUUAACACAAUGAGUUUACCAGACUAUUCCCUGGACAAAGACAUGGUAUCUUCCUUAGGUGAAAGGAAAACACAUUCAGUGCCAGUUGCUCUGGAGGAGAAAAUCAUAGGGGAACCCCCAACAGAAGAGGAGAACAGUGUACCCACCCCCAGAGGAGAGCCACAAGAUACCAUAAUCCAAGAAACCACACUUCCAUCUGCAGACUUCCUGGAACCAAUGAAAGAGAGUAUCUCAAACAAGGAGGGAGAGAGACCCCAAGACACAGCAAGGAAGAGACACUCGACUGAAGCGGUGAAGUCAGAGGCUGAAGCCCAUCCACAAGAGACAGAGACCAGGCAGGAAGCAACGCCAGAGAAGAAGUUCUUUUUAGGAAAUGGUCUUGCCUCUCCUGCAGCUUCACUGGGAGUCCUGGUAGUUGUGGUUUGUUUCAGCAUAUAUUGCAAUGGCUACUAUACUUCCCAGCCCCACCAUAUGCCAAAAAAUCCAGCCUUGGAGGCCUUCUUGUCCAGGUUUAACCAGCUGAAGGACAGCUUUCCGGGCCAGACCUCUUACCUGUGGGUUAGAGGGCAAAAAUUAUUGCAGAGGCAUCUCAACACUUCCAGUCAUAGAGAGCCAGCUAUUUUAAUCUUUACUGCUGCCCGUGAAGGUGAAGAAACCUUAAAGUGCCUGAGCAACCGUAUUGCAGAUGCCUACUCCACCUCACUCCGUGCCAGUACCAUCCAGGUUGACGGGGCAGGUAAAGCCACACUCAACAGCGACAAAGCUAAACUGGAGGUAGAUUAUGAGCUGAGCACCGGCUUUGAGGAGGGCAAGAGGGCCGCAGUGGUGCACCGGUUCGAGUCGCUACCAGCUGGCUCCACCUUGAUCUUUUACAAGUACUGUGACCAUGAGAGCGCGGCCUUCAAAGACGUGGCACUGCUCUUAACGGUCCUGCUGGAGGAAGAGAAGCUGGACGCUAAUAUAAACCUACAGCAAGUCGAGGAGAGAGUCCGUGAUUUCCUCUGGGCCAAAUUCACCAAUGCCAACACUCCCAGCUCCUACAACCACAUGGACACCGACAAGCUGAGUGGGUUGUGGAGCCGCAUCUCCCACCUGGUACUGCCCAUCCAUCCAGUAAAAGCCAUAGAGAACAAUGGCUGUUCUUUCCAAACCAAACCAUAGUGGUGAAUGAAAUCAGCUUCCAGGACAGCCAAAGCCUUUGUGUAGAGGAGAGGGGACCUUUCACCUGCACACCUGCUCCCUCCCAUACAGAAGGGGCAGUCGUAGCCACCGCUGUAGCAGUGUAUCCCCAGAUCCUGUGGAGGUUCAGUCUGGAGAACAAGAUGGAAGCUGGAUGGGGCCAGGAGGAAUUUGGCAAGGGCUUGCUUUUCUCAGGGAGAGUUCCUCCCCCACCAGAGCUCUGGGAAGGCUGAUUGGCCCAUGGUUUGUAAUGUUACUGGUAACAGCAAAGGGACAUAAUAAUCUUGUAAUUCACAGUUGCCUCUAGGUCUCUCUAUAAAUAGCCUUUAUGAUUAACUUUUAGUUCCCUAGACAUUUGUUAAUAGAGGUAUUUAUUUCAGCCCCUAUUGGACAUGUUGCAAUGGGAUCUCUGCAUAGGGGGAGCUCACCUUCUCACCAGCCUGGGGGAGCAGCCACUCAGAGUAAUAGGAGUGCUUCAUAUGGCUGGGGAACUGAGUGCAGUGAUGGCUGGUAACGAGCUAAUACUUUAUGCACUGUUUGAAAGCUUAUGAAUCCCCAGCUUGGUGCACACCAAUGCAUUAUUGCACAUCAUCUUCUGUACAUAACAUAGGAAGAGCUUGAGCCACUCGGGGGCAUGUUGCUUCCAUAGGUACUGAUGCAUUCUGGAAAGUGUCUAGAGAAGAGCUACUAAAGUCAUGCUGGAGGGGACUCAGGGUACUAGGCUAAAGCUCUAAAGGCCCCAAUCCUGCAAUGAGAUCUCUGCAGGCAGACUCCCUGCACCUGUGUGGGUGCAGAGAGUCUGAAUGCACAGAUCACAUUGCAAGAGCAAGGCCCAAGUCUCUUCCGGUUGGAGAAGAGGCUGUGGCAAGAAGUGGAGCUUACUUCCGAGUUUAACUGCCCAAAUGGAAGACAUGUUGUGAUCGGCGCAAUCUAUAUGAGGGCUGAAGGACCGAGCAAUCAAGGUGAACUGCCCAAAACAGGCCUUACAAAGACAUAGGCUUUAAUUAAGCAACAACAGGAAAAUGCUUGGACGCUCUGAGAUGGGUAACUUUGUAAAAUCCCCUCCAAUGACUGUACACCAAUGCUGCCUGUGCCGCACACCAGUGGUGCCUUGCAAACAGAAUAGAUUGGAUGUGGUUUUUCAGCACGACUGGCCAUUUCAAGACAUGUCUUGGGUAGUUGUGUUGCUCAUUUUUCCAAAGUAGUUGGCAUUUUAUAUGUGAUCCAAUUCUUGUAGUGAAAAGCACGUGCUUUUUUCUCCCCUGCAGAAUGGAAAUAGGGUUUUACUACAGAAGGUGGGCUGGUGUUCUGAAGUGUUCCUUAGGACACAAUCAACAUUCUAACACUCAGCUAGAUCAGGUUUUAAGGAGAAUAAUUAAUAACUGUGGCUGUAAAAAGUCUCUCUGCGCUGACAUUCAGCAAACCAAGGGGUCCAGUCCAAAGAACAUUUUUGUACAAAAUUUGGGGUGGGGGAAUUUGGCUGCUUUUCAUUUUUAAUCAAAGAAGUGCUCAACAUGGAAGCACUUUCUUGUUUUUCUGCGUGGCUUGGGAUUUAUUGUUUGCUUUGACUUAAUAAUCAGCAAGAGAUCAGUCUAUGGUGCAAGUUCAAUGAUUUGAAAAAAUAUUAACAUCUAAAAGUCAAGUGCCAUGCACAGACAGUUUUAUGUAUUCCGUUUCUACUGCAUUGUCUUCUGUGCAUGGAAAGGAAUGAUUCUCAGGUACAUAAGGCAGUGUGGACAAUAUGGUCCAUGAGCACUAACCAGUCGAGCUAUUGCAGUGUAGAGAAAUUUUAUGCUUUUUUAAAGAAAAACUUCCUUGUGCUUCUUAAAGUAGUUUUUAAAUAAAUAAA